GGAGCUUGCUCCCGGAUGUUAGCGGCGGACGGGUGAGUAACACGUGGGUAACCUGCCUGUAAGACUGGGAUAACUCCGGGAAACCGGAGCUAAUACCGGAUAGUUCCUUGAACCGCAUGGUUCAAGGAUGAAAGACGGUUUCGGCUGUCACUUACAGAUGGACCCGCGGCGCAUUAGCUAGUUGGUGGGGUAAUGGCUCACCAAGGCGACGAUGCGUAGCCGACCUGAGAGGGUGAUCGGCCACACUGGGACUGAGACACGGCCCAGACUCCUACGGGAGGCAGCAGUAGGGAAUCUUCCGCAAUGGACGRAAAGUCUGACGGAGCAACGCCGCGUGAGUGAUGAAGGUUUUCGGAUCGUAAAGCUCUGUUGUUAGGGAAGAACAAGUGCGAGAGUAACUGCUCGCACCUUGACGGUACCUAACCAGAAAGCCACGGCUAACUACGUGCCAGCAGCCGCGGUAAUACGUAGGUGGCAAGCGUUGUCCGGAAUUAUUGGGCGUAAAGGGCUCGCAGGCGGUUUCUUAAGUCUGAUGUGAAAGCCCCCGGCUCAACCGGGGAGGGUCAUUGGAAACUGGGAAACUUGAGUGCAGAAGAGGAGAGUGGAAUUCCACGUGUAGCGGUGAAAUGCGUAGAGAUGUGGAGGAACACCAGUGGCGAAGGCGACUCUCUGGUCUGUAACUGACGCUGAGGAGCGAAAGCGUGGGGAGCGAACAGGAUUAG
RNAcentral lists this ribosomal RNA (722 nucleotides) under Bacillus sp. (in: firmicutes). RNAcentral's name for it is "bacterial SSU rRNA". It matches the Rfam family "Bacterial small subunit ribosomal RNA", at positions 75 to 781 of the family's 1533-position model. The record is from RNAcentral. Lineage: Bacteria; Bacillati; Bacillota; Bacilli; Caryophanales; Bacillaceae.